CCUACGGGAGGCAGCAGUGGGGAAUAUUGCACAAUGGGUGAAACCCUGAUGCAGCAACGCCGCGUGAGCGAAGAAGGCCUUCGGGUCGUAAAGCUCUGUCCUAAGGGAAGAAGCAUGACGGUACCUUAGGAGGAAGCCCCGGCUAACUAAGUGCCAGCAGCCGCGGUAAUACGUAGGGGGCGAGCGUUAUCCGGAAUAACUGGGCGUAAAGGGUGCGUAGGAGGCCGAUUAAGUCGGGGGUGAGAGGCUACGGCCCAAGCGUAGUAAGCCCUUGGAACUGAUUGGCUUGAGUGAAGGAGAGAAGAGUGGAAUUCCUAGUGUAGCGGUGAAAUGCGUAGAUAUUAGGAGGAAGAACAGUGGCGAAGGCGACUCUCUGGACUGUAACUGACGCUGAGGCACGAAAGCGUGGGGAGCAAACAGGAUUAGAUACCCUGGUAGUC
RNAcentral lists this ribosomal RNA (440 nucleotides) under uncultured bacterium. RNAcentral describes it as "bacterial SSU rRNA". It matches the Rfam family "Bacterial small subunit ribosomal RNA", at positions 338 to 795 of the family's 1533-position model. The record is from RNAcentral.